UUGGGCCGUUUCAGAUAGAGAAAGGAAGCUCAGACAUCACAUGGCGCCAUCGCAGGAAUAGAAGAGACGGUCUGCGAUUCUUCAAUUGAGAUUAGGGUUAGAGCGAGAACCACAUCUAUCUGGGCCGGAUGAAGAAAGCACAUCUCGACGUGCGUCUAAAUGAAACGUCGAGUUUCAUUAAUCGGCGACACGUGUCGCGAUGAGGAGCGACGACUUAUCUAGCUGGCGGGUGACGUGGAGGCACCAGGAUUGAGAGAACUGUACUUUAUAUAUAUAGAUAGAUAGAUAGAUAGAUUCAGAACGUAGCAUCGACCAACUCCCAGUCUUAAUAAAAUAUUUAG
RNAcentral lists this long non-coding RNA (341 nucleotides) under Brassica napus (rape). RNAcentral describes it as "long non-coding RNA (BNAP_LNC013776)". Lineage: Eukaryota; Viridiplantae; Streptophyta; Magnoliopsida; Brassicales; Brassicaceae. The record is from RNAcentral.